UAUCAGGGACCCUGUGGGGAUGAGGUGG
This 28-nucleotide non-coding RNA is filed under the name Macaca fascicularis (crab-eating macaque). Lineage: Eukaryota; Metazoa; Chordata; Mammalia; Primates; Cercopithecidae. RNAcentral also lists the same sequence under 1 other name. The record is from RNAcentral.